CCUACGGGAGGCAGCAGUGAGGAAUAUUGGUCAAUGGGCGGAAGCCUGAACCAGCCAAGUAGCGUGCGGGAUGAAGGCCCUACGGUUCGUAAACCUCUUUUGCACGGGGAUAACACCCUCCACUUGUGGAUGUCUGCAGGUACCGUGCGAAUAAGGGCCGGCUAAUUCCGUGCCAGCAGCCGCGGUAAUACGGAGGGCCCGAGCGUUAUCCGGAUUCAUUGGGCUUAAGGGGUGCGUAGGCGGGCUUUUAAGUCAGCUGUAAAAGCGCGGGGCUCAACCCCGGCCCGCCGUUGAAACUGGCAGUCUCGAGUUGGAGAGAGGUAUGCGGAAUGCGCGGUGUAGCGGUGAAAUGCAUAGAUAUCGCGCAGAACUCCGAUUGCGAAGGCAGCAUGCCGGCUCCACACUGACGCUGAGGCACGAAAGCGUGGGUAUCGAACAGGAUUAGAUACCCUUGUAGUC
RNAcentral lists this ribosomal RNA (459 nucleotides) under uncultured bacterium. RNAcentral's name for it is "partial 16S ribosomal RNA". It matches the Rfam family "Bacterial small subunit ribosomal RNA", at positions 338 to 795 of the family's 1533-position model. The record is from RNAcentral.